RNAcentral lists this ribosomal RNA (497 nucleotides) under uncultured bacterium. RNAcentral describes it as "partial 16S ribosomal RNA". It matches the Rfam family "Bacterial small subunit ribosomal RNA", at positions 28 to 507 of the family's 1533-position model. The record is from RNAcentral.
GAUGAACGCUGGCGGCGUGCCUAAUACAUGCAAGUCGAGCGAACGGACGAGAAGCUUGCUUCUCUGAUGUUAGCGGCGGACGGGUGAGUAACACGUGGAUAACCUACCUAUAAUACUGGGAUAACUUCGGGAAACCGGAUCUAAUACCGGAUGAUAUUUUGAACCGCAUUGUUCAAAAGUGAACGACGGUCUUGCUGUCACUUAUAGAUGGAUCCGCGCUGCAUUAGCUAGUUGGUAAGGUAACGGCUUACCAAGGCAACGAUGCAUAGCCGACCUGAUAGGGGGAUCGGCCACACUGGAACGGAGACACGGUCCAGACUCCUACGGGAGGCAGCAGUAGGGAAUCUUCCGAAAUGGGCGAAAGCCUGACGGAGCAAAGCCGCGUGAGUGAUGAAGGUCUUCGGAUCGUAAAACUCUGUUAUUAGGGAAGAACAUAUGUGUAAGUAACUGUGCACAUCUUGACGGUACCUAAUCAGAAAGCCACGGCUAACUACGUG